GUGGAAAGCUCAUCCCUUUGCUGGAAGUGCUCUCUAUGUGUGUUCGACUCUGUGAGAUGUCAGCUGCCAUUAGAGAAACUUGAAUGCACUUUUUAUGACAGAUGGAAGUGAUAGGCAUUGACCCAUCCAGACAUCUUGUGCCUCCUUUACUGAUGCUGUUUAGAGCAAAGCACUGGGACUCUUGACUCCCAACUCGUGCACACUGUGGCUUAUUGGUGACUCCUGAACUGCAAUAUGGGACUCAGUAAAAUGGGAGUAUAAAUGGGACACUGCUGGGAGAGAUUUUUCAGACCCAAGUGACUCUAAACAUAGAAAAUAUAGCUCUUUUUCUCUUUAGGCCUGCAACUAGGCAUGUUUGUAGUAUCUGCCUGGCUUGGACCUGGCCUUGCAGAAGCCCACAUCUGAGGAGUCAGUCCCCCUACAACUGCUGUGCUGCUGGAGAACAGAGAAUGACAUACUCAGUGUCUCCAGCCUCCUGCCAAGGACAGAGCAUUGGAGUCUCCAGCAGCUCAGCCUAUGCCCACCCACGACAGCCUCACUGGCAUCAUCACCUUCAACAUGAAGCACGCUCUGUCCACGAGAGGCUGGGUGAUGCACAGCAGCAGCAAGACCCGGGGAGAGAAGGAGCUGCCUUGCAGUGCACGUUGUGCUGAGAAAUUUGUUUUGUGUGUGUUUUCCUUCUGUAUCUGGAGCUCUCUGAGCUCUGCUGGCUGCCAGAAGCCUCAGCACCUCUUCGCGCAGCAGCAUGAACAACAGGCAGCUGGCAGAAAGCACAGCAGCCAGCAGUAUUUUCCUUUUGACCUCAAUUCCCCAGCACAAUUGCUCGGACUUUCCCUUAGCUCUGUGUCAUCUCUCUGUCACAAAUAACUUUUCACCUGUGAUAAAAAGAGGCAAGCCUGAAUGGGAGAGGGGAAAAAAAAAAAGGAAGGCAGAAAGUUUUCUGUGCAGAGAACUUCUCAGUGCUUAAAGACAGGUGGUAUGGAAAUGCUGUUUCACAGAAGCAGAAAACAACACUUGGGAGGGUUCUGCAUUACCACGAGAGCACAUGCAGCUCCUAGGCUCCAGUCCUGGCCCUUCCCGGAGGCUUCUCUCUUUGUCUGGGAAAAGAUGCAUGGUUACUCUGCUUGCUUGCUCCAGGGAUCUCUGGUGAUGCGUUUUCUGGCCAAAAUGCAAACUGAAAUCAGAACUGCGGUUUGUCCCUGAGGGCACAGGAGCCAGUGGGUGGUUUGCUGUCACUGUCCCAGCUGUGGAUGGAGAGCAAUGGCACCAGCCUGUGUGGCUGUUGUACUGCCAGCAAAAAUUUAAGAAUAAUGCUUAGAAGGGUAUCAAAGAACAAGAAGCCUGGUAAUGAUUUUGCAAUAACUCUGUGCUGAGGAUUUCUCCAUCUUUGACGCUUUCCAGGAAAACUGAACUCUUAAUUUUUCAGUGGUGCCAAAACAGCCAAGUUUCAAAAGGCUGAUUAAUAUGAAGUGGCCAGGACAGGGGAAUCAGAGUUCAGCUUCUAAUAUGAAAGCUAUAGAAUGAUAGUGGCAAAACAUUGUUUUCUUCUUUAACCUACGUUUGAAAGCAUCACUGCACCUGCAGGGUAUGUCAAAGGGAACUUGUAUCGCUCUCUAACAGGAAAGACUCACUCAAGCACUGACAUACUUAUCUUAUUAGUAUUUUACCAUACUACAAAAAAAAACCAAACCAGAACAAGACUUCCUGCAACCCACCAGAUAUGCACGGGAAUUAUAUCACACCUUUCACGUCAGCUGCUGAGCACCUCUCCUAUGCAGCUGACCUAAAGUAGAAAAAGGAGUUGAUUCUCUGGUGGUGAGCAUUUUUCCUGAGGGCAGUGGUAAUGUUUCCUCCUCUAGUGAAACAA
Long non-coding RNA from Numida meleagris (helmeted guineafowl), 1867 nucleotides. Lineage: Eukaryota; Metazoa; Chordata; Aves; Galliformes; Numididae. The record is from Ensembl.